This 465-nucleotide ribosomal RNA is filed under the name Vreelandella stevensii. Its description in RNAcentral is "partial 16S ribosomal RNA". It matches the Rfam family "Bacterial small subunit ribosomal RNA", at positions 338 to 795 of the family's 1533-position model. The record is from RNAcentral. Lineage: Bacteria; Pseudomonadati; Pseudomonadota; Gammaproteobacteria; Oceanospirillales; Halomonadaceae.
CCUACGGGGAGCUGCAGUGGGGAAUAUUGGACAAUGGGCGAAAGCCUGAUCCAGCCAUGCCGCGUGUGUGAAGAAGGCCUUCGGGUUGUAAAGCACUUUCAGUGGGGAAGAAAGCCUUGGGGUUAAUACCCUCGAGGAAGGACAUCACCCACAGAAGAAGCACCGGCUAACUCCGUGCCAGCAGCCGCGGUAAUACGGAGGGUGCGAGCGUUAAUCGGAAUUACUGGGCGUAAAGCGCGCGUAGGCGGUCUGAUAAGCCGGUUGUGAAAGCCCCGGGCUCAACCUGGGAACGGCAUCCGGAACUGUCAGGCUAGAGUGCAGGAGAGGAAGGUAGAAUUCCCGGUGUAGCGGUGAAAUGCGUAGAGAUCGGGAGGAAUACCAGUGGCGAAGGCGGCCUUCUGGACUGACACUGACGCUGAGGUGCGAAAGCGUGGGUAGCAAACAGGAUUAGAUACCCGGGUAGUC